This is a long non-coding RNA of Salvia miltiorrhiza (redroot sage), 506 nucleotides long. RefSeq lists it as uncharacterized. NCBI's taxonomy places the organism in Eukaryota, Viridiplantae, Streptophyta, Magnoliopsida, Lamiales, Lamiaceae. The transcript has 2 exons. The record is from RefSeq and is a predicted model, not a curated record.
GGAGGAUAUCAUAUAUAUGCAACAACUGAAGGGGUUUGAAGACCCUCUUCAUCCUACUUAUGUCUAUAAACUUCAGAAUUCACUAUAUGGUCUAAAGCAGACUCCCAAAGCCUGUCUAUGUAGAGAUUGAAGUGGCUUCAAUCUCUAUGUCAGGAGAUUGGCCAAACUGUUCCUACUCCUCACCAAGUGUACACCAAUGCGGUUGCCUUGUCCGCAAAUCCGGUCUUCCACUCACGUACCAAACAUAUUGAGGUCGACGUCCAUUUUGUGCGUGAAAAAGUUAUGGCAAAGGUCAUAAAAGUUGGUAAUGUUCCUACCUCCAAUCAAAUAGUUGAUGUGUUCACUAAGUCUCUUCCUGAACACCGAUUUUUUCUUUUGAGAAGCAAACUUCGGCUUCUUCAACCGGGAUAAAAGUUUUUCUUAAAGGUGUGUUUACUUUGGUAGUAAAAUUUUCAUUUGAAAAGUAUGGAUAAGAAAAUGUGAGAUAAUAUAUUUUUCUCUUUUUU